GGGUUCCUACGGGGCGCAGCAGUGAGGAAUAUUGGUCAAUGGGCGGAAGCCUGAACCAGCCACGUCGCGUGAGGGAAUAAGGCCCUACGGGUCGUAAACCUCUUUUGCCGGGGAGCAAGGGCCGGGACGCGUCCCGGCCCGGAGAGUACCCGGAGAAAAAGCAUCGGCUAACUCCGUGCCAGCAGCCGCGGUAAUACGGAGGAUGCGAGCGUUAUCCGGAUUUAUUGGGUUUAAAGGGUGCGUAGGCGGGCUUUUAAG
RNAcentral lists this ribosomal RNA (258 nucleotides) under uncultured bacterium. RNAcentral's name for it is "partial 16S ribosomal RNA". It matches the Rfam family "Bacterial small subunit ribosomal RNA", at positions 333 to 587 of the family's 1533-position model. The record is from RNAcentral.